Molecule: ribosomal RNA, 459 nt
Filed under: Nucras tessellata
Lineage: Eukaryota; Metazoa; Chordata; Lepidosauria; Squamata; Lacertidae
Description: 16S rRNA
Rfam family: Bacterial large subunit ribosomal RNA
Source: RNAcentral
UUAAACGGCCGCGGUAUCCUAACCGUGCAAAGGUAGCAUAAUCACUUGUCCCCUAAAUAGGGACUAGAAUGAAUGGCUACAUGAGGACUAACCUGUCUCUUGCAUUCAAUCAAUGAAAUUGAUCUUUCAGUCCAAAAGCUGAAAUAACCCCAUAAGACGAGAAGACCCUGUGGAGCUUAUUAAACUAAACUCACUGCCAUGAACCCUUAGUUUUCAGUUGGGGCGACUUCGGAGCACAAAAAACCCUCCAAAUUAAUCCAACCAGAUUAACACAUCGACACCUACUUUGACCCAGUAGUUCUAAUCAUAUUACCUGAUCAAUGAAACAAGUUACCCCAGGGAUAACAGCGCCAUCCCCUUCAAGAGUCCCCAUCGACAGGGGGGUUUACGACCUCGAUGUUGGAUCAGGACACCCAAAUAGUGCACCCGCUAUUAACGGUUCGUUUGUUCAACGAUUAA